Non-coding RNA from Phyllosticta capitalensis, 82 nucleotides. NCBI's taxonomy places the organism in Eukaryota, Fungi, Ascomycota, Dothideomycetes, Botryosphaeriales, Phyllostictaceae. The record is from the annotation of a GenBank genome assembly.
GGCCGGUUGGCGCAAUGGUAGCGCGUGCCCCUCCUACGAGGACCAAAGGGCAAGGUUGUGGGUUCGAGUCCCAUGCUGGUCG